Molecule: ribosomal RNA, 422 nt
Filed under: Culicoides kingi
Lineage: Eukaryota; Metazoa; Arthropoda; Insecta; Diptera; Ceratopogonidae
Description: partial 16S ribosomal RNA
Source: RNAcentral
UUGACCGUGCCAAAGGUAGCAUAAUCAUUUGUCUUUUAAUUAAAGGCUUGUAUGAAUGGUUGGAUGAGAUAUAAUCUAUUUUUAUUUAAUUAAAAAUGAAUUUUAAUUUUUAGUAAAAAUGCUAAAAUAAAAAAUAUAGACGAGAAGACCCUAUAAAUCUUUAUUAUUUUUUGAUUAAUUUAUUAAUAGAAUAAUAAAUUUAUUAAUUAAAAAAUAAUUUUAUUGGGGUGAUAAUGAAAUUUAAUAAACUUUUAUUUUAUUUUAUAAAUAUAAUUAAUUUAAUGAUCCAUUUUUAAUGAUUAUAAAAUUAAGUUACUUUAGGGAUAACAGCGUAAUUAUUUUAAAGAGUUCAUAUCGAUAAAAUAGUUUGCGUACCUCCGCUGUUGAAUUGUAGUAGAGACAGAUGCAACGCGGUGGCAGAA